UACUAGAGUAGCACUCGCAUAUCAAUAAGCGGAGGAAAAGAAACUAACAAGGAUUCCCCUAGUAACGGCGAGUGAAGCGGGAAGAGCUCAAAUUUGAAAUCUUAAAGGGUUUCCCUUUACGAAUUGUAGUUUAAAGAAGUGUUUUCUGUUGAGGUUUUGGUAAAAGUUCUUUGGAAUAGGACAUCAUAGAGGGUGAGAAUCCUGUAUUUGACCUUUACUUUCAACUUUGUGAUACACUUUCAAAGAGUCGGAUUGUUUGGGAAUGCAGUCCAAAAUGGGUGGUAAAUUUCAUCUAAAGCUAAAUAUUGGCGAGAGACCGAUAGCGAGCAAGUACCGUGAGGGAAAGAUGAAAAGAACUUUGAAAAGAGAGUUAAACAGUACGUGAAAUUGUCAAAAGGGAAGCGUUUGACACCAGUGUUGUUUUUCUGAAAAUCAAUUAAAGAACUGUUUAUGCUAAGUUGUUUAGACUUUAUCAGCUAUCUGUUUAGUUUUGAGCUUUUCUUUAAUGCACUUUUCAGUUAACAAGUCAACAUCAAUUUCUUUUGCUGUAAAAAAGCUUGAGGAAGGUGGCUUGAGAUUCGUCUUAAGUGUUUAUAGCCUCUUGCCUAUGCAGUCGGAGAGAUUGAGGUCUGCAGCGUAGAUCCUUCGGGGCUAAAUGCAUUUGUGCUAAGUUAUAGCAUUUUAUAGACAACUUGUUGACUAUGAUUUGUCUUGUAGCUUACUCGCUUAUGUUAUUUUACCUACGCUUAGGAUGUUGAUCUCUCACAGUCGAGG
Molecule: ribosomal RNA, 774 nt
Filed under: uncultured Neocallimastigales
Lineage: Eukaryota; Fungi; Neocallimastigomycota; Neocallimastigomycetes; Neocallimastigales
Description: partial large subunit ribosomal RNA
Rfam family: Eukaryotic large subunit ribosomal RNA
Source: RNAcentral